AGUCAUUUUGAUAAAGUUGUUGGGGGAAAAAAAAACGGUCUGGUCGGUAAACUAGAUAUGUGCCGACGAUUAUUCACCUGUCUGAGAAAUCAAACAUUGCUGUUGAAUGAUAUUGGAUAUCAUAAUAUUAUCGAAACGGUUUAUAAUACAAUAAAAUACACGGACUUUCUUGUUACGUAGGUAUUUCGUGAAUAUUGGCACAGGACUGUAUGAUUGUGUGCCUAUUUUUAAAUAAAAUCAAAAUGCUAGUAAUUGCGGG
Cinara cedri is the source of this 259-nucleotide non-coding RNA. NCBI's taxonomy places the organism in Eukaryota, Metazoa, Arthropoda, Insecta, Hemiptera, Aphididae. The record is from the annotation of a GenBank genome assembly.